CUCUCGGUAAAUGAUUGCCGUUUAAAACACUUUUCCUUGCCCUUUCCUACCAUCGACUCCGACAGCAGCAGAAUUACAGUAAGAGAACACAAUCCCCCACUCAAACUGCCCAACAAAAAAGUUGAGUUGGAGCCCGUCCACAAGAAAGCUGCUGUGUCGCAGCCCCUACACACCGAAAGGGCAAUAACUGGCUCAAGCCUAGACUUGCCAUCCACCUGGGCAGGAAGAUUCACCAUAGGAGCUGGGAGCUGGGCAACUGUACUUACCGUAUUCAAUAACCCUUGAACUACCAGCCAGAACAAUGAAUAACCUUGCAGAUAUGUUGGCUAACUAUGGUGUGGAGUCAGGAGAUGGAACUUGACAGGCAGACUUUCUAACCUGGGAACCACCAACAAAAGGAUGCAUGAACAGCCUGAGCUCUGUGGUGCAAGCCUAGCAGUGCCUGUGAGAAGAAUUUGGUAAACACUCAUGGUUUUCAGACUGUUGUUUCAAUAAGUCUGGGUGAGGGCCAUGAAAGGUUGGAACGGAGCCAGGAAUUAGGACUGAAAGGGAGGAUUCCCCCAGCAUUCACUGCUGCAGCUGAAGUGGAUGUGUCAACCAUUCAAGACCACAGAAGAAAGAAUGUCAACAGUGACUGACCAAAAAUUCCAUCCCCGUGUUAAAGUAUUCAGAGACUUGGUGAAGUAUGUACCAAGGGGAAAUCCACCACUUUACGGAGCUCUCAUGUACAAACUAAUUUGGAAUUACCAUUUGCGGUUUAAUGUUGUCUUUUUUUCCUUACUUCCUAUGUAUAGAAUUUUUUAUCUUCCUUUCUUUGGCUUAGAUAGAGCCGCCUUGCCUUUC
Long non-coding RNA from Rhincodon typus (whale shark), 843 nucleotides. RefSeq lists it as uncharacterized. The record is from RefSeq and is a predicted model, not a curated record. Lineage: Eukaryota; Metazoa; Chordata; Chondrichthyes; Orectolobiformes; Rhincodontidae. The transcript has 3 exons.